UCAUGGCUCAGAUUGAACGCUGGCGGCAUGCCUUACACAUGCAAGUCGAACGGCAGCACGGGAGCUUGCUCCUGGUGGCGAGUGGCGAACGGGUGAGUAAUACAUCGGAACGUACCCUGAAGUGGGGGAUAACGUAGCGAAAGUUACGCUAAUACCGCAUAUUCUGUGAGCAGGAAAGAGGGGGAUCGCAAGACCUCUUGCUUUAGGAGCGGCCGAUGUCGGAUUAGCUAGUUGGUGAGGUAAAGGCUCACCAAGGCGACGAUCCGUAGCGGGUCUGAGAGGAUGAUCCGCCACACUGGGACUGAGACACGGCCCAGACUCCUACGGGAGGCAGCAGUGGGGAAUUUUGGACAAUGGGCGCAAGCCUGAUCCAGCCAUGCCGCGUGAGUGAAGAAGGCUUCGGGUUGUAAAGCUCUUUCGGUGGGGAAGAAAUUGCUUCGGUUAAUACCUGGAGUAGAUGACGGUACCCGCAUAAGAAGCACCGGCUAACUACGUG
This 496-nucleotide ribosomal RNA is filed under the name uncultured bacterium. RNAcentral describes it as "bacterial SSU rRNA". It matches the Rfam family "Bacterial small subunit ribosomal RNA", at positions 17 to 507 of the family's 1533-position model. The record is from RNAcentral.